Molecule: ribosomal RNA, 464 nt
Filed under: Vreelandella stevensii
Lineage: Bacteria; Pseudomonadati; Pseudomonadota; Gammaproteobacteria; Oceanospirillales; Halomonadaceae
Description: partial 16S ribosomal RNA
Rfam family: Bacterial small subunit ribosomal RNA
Source: RNAcentral
CCUACGGGCGGCAGCAGUGGGGAAUAUUGGACAAUGGGCGAAAGCCUGAUCCAGCCAUGCCGCGUGUGUGAAGAAGGCCUUCGGGUUGUAAAGCACUUUCAGUGGGGAAGAAAGCCUUGGGGCUAAUACCCUCGAGGAAGGACAUCACCCACAGAAGAAGCACCGGCUAACUCCGUGCCAGCAGCCGCGGUAUACGGAGGGUGCGAGCGGUAAUCGGAAUGACUGGGCGUAAAGCGCGCGUAGGCGGUCUGAUAAGCCGGUUGUGAAAGCCCCGGGCUCAACCUGGGAACGGCAUCCGGAACUGUCAGGCUAGAGUGCAGGAGAGGAAGGUAGAAUUCCCGGUGUAGCGGUGAAAUGCGUAGAGAUCGGGAGGAAUACCAGUGGCGAAGGCGGCCUUCUGGACUGACACUGACGCUGAGGUGCGAAAGCGUGGGUAGCAAACAGGAUUAGAUACCCUAGUAGUC